Molecule: unclassified non-coding RNA, 240 nt
Filed under: soil metagenome
Description: partial contains 5.8S ribosomal RNA, internal transcribed spacer 2, and large subunit ribosomal RNA
Source: RNAcentral
AACGCACGAGACCUGCGGACCUGCGGAAGGAUCAUUAAUGAGAAGCUGCCCCUCGUGGGUAGACCUCCCACCCUCUGUGUACUUACCUUUGUUGCUUUGGCAGGCCCGUCCUCUGGACCGCCGGCUUCGGCUGGCCCGUGCCUGCCAGAGGAUUCCAAACCCUGUCUGUCAGUGUUGUCUGAGUCUAUAUGAAAUCGUUAAAACUUUCAACAAUGGAUCUCUAGAUCGGAAGAGCACACG